This 234-nucleotide ribosomal RNA is filed under the name Triticum aestivum (bread wheat). RNAcentral's name for it is "partial small subunit ribosomal RNA". Lineage: Eukaryota; Viridiplantae; Streptophyta; Magnoliopsida; Poales; Poaceae. The record is from RNAcentral.
AUGCCACAUGUCUUGGAUGUUUAUUGUCAAGCUUCGGGGCAGCGGAUAAAUUAUGACAAGUCCUCACUUUUCUUCAGUAAGGGAGUUCCUGACAGUGUGCGCCAGCAAAUUAAAGGGAUACUGCACGUACCAAAUGAAACCUUGAAUGAAAAAUAUCUUGGUAUGCCUAGUGAUAUUGGUACGUCUAAGAAUGGAGCCUUCAAAUAUUUGAAAGAUAGGUUGUGGAACAAAGUC